GUGCUGCUGUGUCAUAUUGCUGUGGUGCAGCAGGCGCUGAGCCGCAGCAGCGCCGCCCUCCAGACGCUGUCCCGGGCCAUCGCCCUGGAGCCCAACAACGCCAUGUGCCGCUACCACCGCGCCUGCGUGUACCUGGAUCUGGGCCAGCCCAGCUCUGCCCUGCUGGACCUCAAGGUGCUGCAGCCU
Molecule: long non-coding RNA, 186 nt
Organism: Hyalella azteca
Lineage: Eukaryota; Metazoa; Arthropoda; Malacostraca; Amphipoda; Hyalellidae
Exons: 3
Source: RefSeq, a predicted model, not a curated record